UACGUAGGUGGCAAGCGUUGUCCGGAUUUACUGGGCGUAAAGAGCGCGCAGGCGGUCGUACAAGUCGCGUGUGAAAGCCCCCGGCUCAACUGGGGAGGGUCACGCGAUACUGUUCGACUCGAAGGCAGGAGAGGGAAGCAGAAUUCCCGGUGUAGUGGUGAAAUGCGCAGAUAUCAGGAGGAACACCGGUGGCGAAGGCGGUUCUCUGGGCAUGUCCUGACGCUGAGGAGCGAAAGUGUGGGGAGCGAACAGG
This 253-nucleotide ribosomal RNA is filed under the name uncultured bacterium. RNAcentral's name for it is "partial 16S ribosomal RNA". It matches the Rfam family "Bacterial small subunit ribosomal RNA", at positions 524 to 776 of the family's 1533-position model. The record is from RNAcentral.